Long non-coding RNA from Cloeon dipterum, 1026 nucleotides. RefSeq lists it as uncharacterized. The transcript has 3 exons. NCBI's taxonomy places the organism in Eukaryota, Metazoa, Arthropoda, Insecta, Ephemeroptera, Baetidae. The record is from RefSeq and is a predicted model, not a curated record.
GUAGCCACAGUACCAAAAGAGGGGAAGGAGUGGGGACAAACGACGCUUGAUUGCUGGUUGAAUGCCCCCACUCCUUCCCCUCUCUUCGUGUCUGGCUGCUGCUUCGCUUCUCCUACUCUCUCUCUCUCAUUAGUCUGUAACUGGCAGUGACGGGACGAUGUCGUGCGCGGUGCUUGUCUGCAGCCGUGAUUGAGGGACCAGCGAGCAGCGAGGCCGCCAGCGACCACCAGGUGACUGUAGAGGACCACGGCCACAUUUAGGUGCAUUGCAUCACAGGCCCCUGAUGUGAGUCGUCGAAGUUGAGCGAGAUGAUGCUGCUUCGCUUCUCCUACCCUCACUCUCAUUAGUCUUUAACUGGCAGUGCCUGGAGGAUGACGUGCGCGGUGCUGGUCUGCAGCCGCGCUUGAUGAUUGAGGGGCCAGCGACCACCAGACGGACUCCGUGGACCUCGGCUGACCCGCGACCGACGUCCACAUUUCGGGUUUGCGACCUCGAGUACUGUCCGGACAACCAGUUCCUUGCUUCUGGCGGAAACGACCAACGACACUACGUUUGGAACCUUCAUCCCUCCAACCAGUCCAAAUAUGCUCUUAAAACUUUGUAUCUUUAUUUAAAUUGUAGUUAUUUUCAAAUAUGUAAUUGGAGAAAUAAAGAUAAACCCUGAAAAUUAAUUCAGAAAUGUAUGUAAAAUAGAAUUGUAAAUUGUAUAACCCUACUCUUUGCAUUAUGCUAUGUAACUGGCAGAGGUGGGGAAUCCCUAAUGUCACCUUUUUCCAUUUUCCCUUUUCUCAUUUCCCUUAUGUUCCUCUUUCCAUUUAAUUCCCAGCAGUGGGAUCCUGUUUGCGCCUGUGGUGCAUUCGGGAAUACCCUGCUGUUAACCUUUUCCUUUUUCCCUUAAAUUCCUUUUCCUUUCAAUUCCCUUUCCUUUUAAUUCCCAGUAGUGGGAUCCUGCUCGUGCCUGUGGUGCGAGUGGGAAUACCCUGCUGUUAACCUUUUCCAUUUUCCCUUAAAUUCCUUUUCCUUUCA